CUCGUAGGCGGUUCGUCGCGUCCGGUGUGAAAGUCCAUCGCCUAACGGUGGAUCUGCGCCGGGUACGGGCGGGCUGGAGUGCGGUAGAGGAGACUGGAAUUCCCGGUGUAACGGUGGAAUGUGUAGAUAUCGGGAAGAACACCAAUGGCGAAGGCAGGUCUCUGGGCCGUUACUGACGCUGAGGAGCGAAAGCGUGGGGAGCGAACA
RNAcentral lists this ribosomal RNA (207 nucleotides) under uncultured bacterium. RNAcentral's name for it is "partial 16S ribosomal RNA". It matches the Rfam family "Bacterial small subunit ribosomal RNA", at positions 568 to 774 of the family's 1533-position model. The record is from RNAcentral.